This 534-nucleotide ribosomal RNA is filed under the name Triticum aestivum (bread wheat). RNAcentral's name for it is "partial small subunit ribosomal RNA". The record is from RNAcentral. Lineage: Eukaryota; Viridiplantae; Streptophyta; Magnoliopsida; Poales; Poaceae.
AUGGAUUCUGAGGCUGAAUCUGAGGAUAAUGAGGAAGAGGAGGCAUCUGAGGAGUCUGAGUCAGGUGUGGCAAGUCUAGCUCUUGCUACCACAUUUGUCAGCAAGUCUAUCUUCAACUCUAAAGAAAAUGGCAACACCAACAACGCUGAUGAAGGCAAUGACAACUACGCUCCCACCUAUUGCUUCAUGGCAAAGGCUGCUAAGGUAACUAAAUACCCCUCCUCUGAAUCAAGUGAGGAUGAAUCUGAUGAAAAUCUUAAGCCUAACUACUCUAAACUUGCUAAGAUUGCUGUGAAACAACAAAAGGCUAUUGAAAAACUUCAAAACAUGCUAGACAAAAGUGAUGAUAUGUUGGGUGAUGAAAUGGACCGCACUAAAGACUUAACUGAAAAUCUUCAGAGACUUCAGUCUAAGUUUGACAACCUUCAAAGUCAUCAUAAAACUCUCUUAACUGAUCACGAGAAGCUUUCUUAUGAAUCUCUUCAAAGAAAGCAAGAUCUUGAGAAGCUAAGAGUGAGUUAUGAAGAUCUUUAG